RNAcentral lists this long non-coding RNA (816 nucleotides) under Helianthus annuus (common sunflower). Lineage: Eukaryota; Viridiplantae; Streptophyta; Magnoliopsida; Asterales; Asteraceae. The record is from RNAcentral.
AAUUUCAUUGCUGGCACCUGAUGACUCGAAAGGUAGAUGGGGACAGAAGGCAUUCAAGUGGACGAGACUCUACAACAAGUGAUGGGUCAACAUUCUUAUCUGAGCGCACUGGGACACUGGGUACACAGCCUUUGCGAGGGAGCUCUCGGGCUUGAAAACAGGGGCAGCGGCUUAACUUCUGCGAUCUUAGCAAAGGUGUUUUCCGGCAAAGAGAAGACUAGAUCGGAUAUUAGUGAAGUUAAAGAUAUUCGUUGGUACCGAAGAAGCUGUUAGGUGACUGAUGCGAUUGAGAUGUUGGUCUGUAUGUCACAUAGAGUUUAAGUAGAGGGAUUCAAAUGAAAACCAAUGAAGUGCAAACAUCAACGCUGACGCCACCGAUUUAGCGGCCACAUGUUAUCUUGUUCUUUGCAGAUCGGCUGGAUUUAUGGAUCGGUUACAGAGGAUAUCUUAACGGGAUUCAAGAUGCAUUGUAGGGGAUGGAGAACGAUAUACUGCAUGCCAGUAAGACCUGCAUUUAAAGGUUCGGCUCCUAUCAACUUAUCAGAUCGGUUGCACCAGGUUUUGAGGUGGGCCCUUGGAUCGGUUGAGCUCUUUUUGAGUAGGAAUUGCCCGUUGUGGUAUGGUUGGGGUGCCGGCCGCUUUAAGUUGCUUUAACGACUUGCGUAUAUAAUUAACACCAUUGUUUAUGCGUUCACAUCUCUCCCUCUUGUUGCAUACUGCACAUUGCCCGCCAUCUACCUUCUGACCGGAAAAUUCAUCAUCCCAACGGUGAUGGCUAUGACACGGAGCAACAUAUGCAAAAACGGGAUGAUUUCU